Molecule: ribosomal RNA, 492 nt
Filed under: uncultured bacterium
Lineage: Bacteria
Description: partial 16S ribosomal RNA
Rfam family: Bacterial small subunit ribosomal RNA
Source: RNAcentral
AGUGAACGCUGGCGGUAGGCCUAACACAUGCAAGUCGAACGGCAGCACAGUAAGAGCUUGCUCUUACGGGUGGCGAGUGGCGGACGGGUGAGGAAUACAUCGGAAUCUACUUUUUCGUGGGGGAUAACGUAGGGAAACUUACGCUAAUACCGCAUACGACCUACGGGUGAAAUCAGGGGAUCUUCGGACCUUGCGCGAUUGAAUGAGCCGAUGUCGGAUUAGCUAGUUGGCGGGGUAAAGGCCCACCAAGGCGACGAUCCGUAGCUGGUCUGAGAGGAUGAUCAGCCACACUGGAACUGAGACACGGUCCAGACUCCUACGGGAGGCAGCAGUGGGGAAUAUUGGACAAUGGGCGCAAGCCUGAUCCAGCAAUACCGCGUGAGUGAAGAAGGCCUUCGGGUUGUAAAGCCCUUUUGUUGGGAAAGAAAAGCAGCAGGUUAAUACCCCGCUGUUCUGACGGUACCCAAAGAAAAAGCACCGGCUAACUUCGUG